CCUCAGUGGGGUGGUGGGCAAAUAGGGAGUCUCAACAGGGUCCACCUUCCCUCUGUGCCAUCCACCACCCCUCCAAUUCCAACCCUUGGGGCUUUGCCAGGCCUUGCACCUGUCCUAGAUCUGUGUACAACCUGCUUCUUGCCUCUGGAAUGCCUGUCUCCAUUUGUCCCCUUUGGAUCCUGUUUACCCUUCAAGGUCAGGUCCAUACCCUGGAAAGCUGUUGAGGCUCACAGCCUCACAGCCACCAUAAACCUUUUGGGAAUGAGGCUUGGUGCCCCUGGGAAAUGGUUCUGAGGAUAACACCACCAGCAACAGCAGCACUUUUUACUAUUACUGCCACCUGUUUCUACUACGACUCCUGGAGUUUUCUAUGUGAAGCACUUCACACACAGAUGCAUGUACACAUGCACUUUACCUACAUCAUCUUAUUUCAUCUUCAAAACAAACCUUUGAGGUAGAAAGACAGACAUCUUUCCAACAAUGGGAGUUGCCUAGGAGUGACAUUGCUGUCUCUGGACGACAUAAGCCCCUGUCAAUGAAGCUUCUUUGGUAAGAACCCUAGAACAAAUACAUUCAGUACUAUCAAUGGACUCUGAAAAAUAAAUAAAAGCAGGUGGAUUGGACAAAGCAAUAAACACUAAAUAUUGACCAA
Molecule: long non-coding RNA, 652 nt
Organism: Canis lupus familiaris (dog)
Lineage: Eukaryota; Metazoa; Chordata; Mammalia; Carnivora; Canidae
Exons: 4
Source: RefSeq, a predicted model, not a curated record